This 415-nucleotide long non-coding RNA is filed under the name Felis catus (domestic cat). Its description in RNAcentral is "lncRNA (ENSFCAG00000047909.1)". The record is from RNAcentral. Lineage: Eukaryota; Metazoa; Chordata; Mammalia; Carnivora; Felidae.
CAGAAAGAACCAAAGCGAUGAGAUAAUUCCUCACACAGGCCAUCAUGACUCUGACGACUGAAAAACAUUGACUGGCUUGUAAUCACACGACAGUCUGGACAGAAUUGAAAAAAACAAGAGUCUAGGUCUACAAGUAUGCCUGCCUUCCUUCCACCAUUAUUUGCUGCUCAGAAUUAAAGUCUGAUUAAAGCAUGGCGAAGCAUCCUCUUGAGGGAGAAGGAAGGGAAAGGAAAGUGAUUGAAAGCACCGGGCGGAAAGGGAAGGUCUACAAAGAAUCCUGCAGUGAAGCUUGACCUCCUGAGGGUUGUGACUGAAGUAUAAGGAACCAGGGUGCCUGAGGCAAAAAGUGACGAACCUGGGCUGAAGCUACUUACAUUCCAGCAUGUUGAGACCUGUCAGUUUUCUUCAAAAUCAG